RNAcentral lists this unclassified non-coding RNA (332 nucleotides) under soil metagenome. Its description in RNAcentral is "partial contains 5.8S ribosomal RNA, internal transcribed spacer 2, and large subunit ribosomal RNA". The stretch from base 1 to 120 matches the Rfam family "5.8S ribosomal RNA", at positions 35 to 154 of the family's 154-position model. The record is from RNAcentral.
GAUGAAGAACGUAGUGAAAUGCGAUAAGUAAUGUGAAUUGCAGAAUUCAGUGAAUCAUCGAAUCUUUGAACGCACAUUGCGCCCGCUAGUAUUCUGGCGGGCAUGCCUGUUCGAGCGUCAUUUCAACCAUCAAGCCCUGUUUAGGCUUGUGUUGGGGCCCUGCGGUUGCCGCAGCCCCCUAAAUGCAGUGGCGGGCUCGUUGUCACUCCGAGCGCAGUAGCGUAUCUCGCUCUGGGCGUGGCGGCGGGUGCUAGCCGUGAAACACCAACUAAGGUUGACCUCGGAUCAGGUAGGAAUACCCGCUGAACUUAAGCAUAUCAAUAAGCGGAGGA